This 482-nucleotide ribosomal RNA is filed under the name uncultured bacterium. RNAcentral's name for it is "SSU rRNA". It matches the Rfam family "Bacterial small subunit ribosomal RNA", at positions 26 to 518 of the family's 1533-position model. The record is from RNAcentral.
AGGACGAACGCUGGCGGCGCGCUUAAUACAUGCAAGUCGAGCGAGAACCAGGGCUUCGGCUCUGGGGACAGCGGCGAACGGGUGAGUAACACGUGGGUAAUCAACCCCCGACACCGGGAUAGCCCAGGGAAACUUGGAUUAAUACCGGAUGCUCCGUCUGGCUUUAGGGCCGGCCGGAAAAGGGUAGCUUCGGCCUCCGGUCGGGGACGAGCCCGCGGCGGAUUAGCUUGUUGGUGAGGUAAAGGCUCACCAAGGCGACAAUCCGUAGCUGGUCUGAGAGGACGAUCAGCCACACUGGGACUGAGACACGGCCCAGACUCCUACGGGAGGCAGCAGUAGGGAAUAUUGGACAAUGGGCGCAAGCCUGAUCCAACCAUGCCGCGUGAGUGAUGAAGGCCCUAGGGUUGUAAAGCUCUUUUGUGCGGGAAGAUAAUGACGGUACCGCAAGAAUAAGCCCCGGCUAACUUCGUGCCAGCAGCCGC